This 353-nucleotide transfer-messenger RNA is filed under the name bioreactor metagenome. RNAcentral describes it as "transfer-messenger RNA, SsrA". It matches the Rfam family "transfer-messenger RNA". Rfam says of the family: Bacterial tmRNA, also known as 10Sa RNA or SsrA, is named for its dual tRNA and mRNA-like properties. Its role is to liberate the mRNA from a stalled ribosome. The record is from RNAcentral.
GGGGGUGUACUGGUUUCGACGGGGAUCGUCGGGUGUAUGGUAAGCGAGCUGCGGCCCCUGUACCGCAUAACAACGGGGAAAAAAAACAACUGACAACAAUCAGCAAUUAGCUUUCGCAGCCUAAGGCUGUGAUCGUCGGCCCCAAGCGCUCACGGCUUGAGUUCACCGGCGUCAUUGAUGUGAGGAACAGGACCGCCAAAGCUUUGAGGCGAAUCCGGUAAUAUGAAGCUACCGCGUCCGGCAGCCUGCCUCUUCGGCGUCCGGAUAAGGGAAGUUAAAAUGAGAGGCUCCGCUCGGAGAAAAUCAUAGGUCUGAAUCUUCGGACAGGAGUUCGAUUCUCCUCACCUCCACCA